AAGUCGUAACAAGGUUUCCGUAGGUGAACCUGCGGAAGGAUCAUUAUCGUAGGGCUUCGGCCCCCGUCGAGAUAGAAACCCCUUGCCUUUUUUGAGACCUUUCGAUUCCUCGGCAGCCUCGGCUGCCAAUGGGGACCCCCAAAAAACACUUUGCAGUACCUGUAACAGUCUGAACAAACAAACAAAAAUUAAAA
This 194-nucleotide unclassified non-coding RNA is filed under the name plant metagenome. RNAcentral describes it as "partial contains small subunit ribosomal RNA and internal transcribed spacer 1". The stretch from base 1 to 46 matches the Rfam family "Eukaryotic small subunit ribosomal RNA", at positions 1786 to 1831 of the family's 1831-position model. The record is from RNAcentral.